Pelodiscus sinensis (Chinese soft-shelled turtle) is the source of this 839-nucleotide non-coding RNA. The record is from RefSeq and is a predicted model, not a curated record. Lineage: Eukaryota; Metazoa; Chordata; Testudines; Trionychidae.
UUGGUAGGUGUUUUAAAGCCACUGAGAAAAGAACAAAUUAAAACAGAGUAUUUCAUCCCUGGGAAUCAUCUUAAAGUUACAGUGUAUAGAAUGAGACAUGGAAUUAGCACAGAGAAGUUUAAACAAACAAUAAAACAAAGAAAAUUACAUGAUCACAUCUAAAUAGACAUUCCCUUUCUACUCACUUAUCUGCUUCAAGGUCCAGUCCAUUUCCAUGCCCAGUAUUCUUUGUAGGCAUGGUAGUCCUGCCUGGUUACAUUCAUCUUGUUCCCUCAGCUCCUGUCUUAAACUCACACAAAGGGAAAAUAAAGCAAACAGGGUUUCUUUCAUUUAAAAUCUCAGUACCUUCUCCCAUUGGCUCUGCUGGCUCCCUGCCAACUCCACCUACCUACCUGAAUUUAAUCCUUUAGACACCAAAUGCCCAGAAAAGGACAGCACUCCUCCUAUCCAGCACAACUGGUCAGCCUAUUAGCAUUCACAUUUAAAUGCUAGUCUACAAUUGCUAAAAAGGAGGACCCUGCUAUGCACCGUUGGACAUAUGCUAAAUCAUACAACAUUUACCCCAAUUUCCGGCCCACUCCCAAGAAUUCCCUGUUGGGUGCAUUGUUUGGGUUAGGACCCCUUAUCUUCUGGGGGUACGUCUUCAAAACUGAGAGGGAUCAUAAAGAGAAGCUUAUUCGGGAAGGCAAAUACAAGCGACCAUUUGCUCUCAGCUCCUAAGUCCCUGGAAAUUGGAUAUUGCACAGUUGCUGUUGGGUUAACCAUAGACAGUGCUGUAUAUUGUACAUUGAUGAAAAGACUAAUCAUCUAUCAAAAUAAACUUUAUUUCAGCCAUAUGA